RNAcentral lists this ribosomal RNA (814 nucleotides) under uncultured delta proteobacterium. RNAcentral describes it as "bacterial SSU rRNA". It matches the Rfam family "Bacterial small subunit ribosomal RNA", at positions 389 to 1201 of the family's 1533-position model. Lineage: Bacteria; Deltaproteobacteria. The record is from RNAcentral.
CAGCACGCCGCGUGAAGGAUGAAGGCCCUUGGAUCGUAAACUUCUGUCAGAGGGGAAGAAAUACUCGCAAGAGACCAUGACGGUACCCUCAAAGGAAGCACCGGCUAACUCCGUGCCACCAGCCGCGGUAAUACGGAGGGUGCAAGCGUUGUUCGGAAUUACUGGGCGUAAAGAUCAUGCAGGCGGUCUGUUUAGUCUGGUGUGAAAUCCCGGGGCUCAACCCCGGAAGUGCAUUGGAUACUGGCAGACUUGAGUAUGGGAGAGGAAAGUGGAAUUCCGAGUGUAGGAGUGAAAUCCGUAGAUAUUCGGAGGAACACCAGUGGCGAAGGCGGCUUUCUGGACCAAUACUGACGCUCAGAUGCGAAAGCGUGGGGAGCAAACAGGAUUAGAUACCCUGGUAGUCCACGCCGUAAACGAUGGGUACUAGGUGUUGCGGGUAACCACUCCUGCAGUGCCGCAGCUAACGCAUUAAGUACCCCGCCUGGGGAGUACGGCCGCAAGGCUAAAACUCAACGGAAUUGACGGGGGCCCGCACAAGCGGUGGAGCAUGUGGUUUAAUUCGACGCAACGCGAAGAACCUUACCUGGGUUUGACAUCCCGAUCGUACAUUAUGGAAACAUAGUGGUCAGCUCGGCUGGAUCGGUGACAGGUGCUGCAUGGCUGUCGUCAGCUCGUGUCGUGAGGUGUUGGGUUAAGUCCCGCAACGAGCGCAACCCUUGUCCUUAAUUGCCAUCAUUAACCUUGGGCACUCUAGGGGAGGCUGCCGGUGUUAAACCCGAGGAAAGGGGGGGAUAACAUCAAGUCCUCAUGGCCC